This 791-nucleotide ribosomal RNA is filed under the name uncultured archaeon. RNAcentral describes it as "bacterial SSU rRNA". It matches the Rfam family "Archaeal small subunit ribosomal RNA", at positions 85 to 879 of the family's 1478-position model. The record is from RNAcentral.
ACGGCUCAGUAACACGUGGAUAACCUGCCCAAGGGUCUGGGAUAACCCCGGGAAACUGGGGAUAAUACCGGAUGGAUCACUAGUGCUGGAAUGCUUGGUGGUCGAAAGGUAACGCCUUUGGAUGGGUCUGCGGCGGAUUAGGUUGACGCCGGUGUAACGUACCGGCGUGCCUGUAAUCCGUACGGGUUGUGGGAGCAAGAGCCCGGAGAUGGAUUCUGAGACACGAAUCCAGGCCCUACGGGGCGCAGCAGGCGCGAAAACUCUACAAUGCAGGCAACUGCGAUAGGGGGACAUCGAGUGGCAUCCACCUUGGGUGCCUGUCCAACCGUCUAAAAAACGGUUGUUAGCAAGGGCCGGGUAAGACCGGUGCCAGCCGCCGCGGUAAUACCGGCGGCUCGAGUGGUGGCCGAUAUUAUUGAGUCUAAAGGGUCCGUAGCCGGCUUUGCAAGUCUCUCGGGAAAUCCAGCGGCUUAACCGUUGGUCGUCCGGGGGGUACUACAUUGCUUGGGACUGGGAGAGGCGAGAGGUACUCAGGGGGUAGGAGUGAAAUCCUGUAAUCCUCUGGGGACCACCGGUGGCGAAGGCGUCUCGCCAGAACAGGUCCGACGGUGAGGGACGAAAGCUAGGGGCACGAACCGGAUUAGAUACCCGGGUAGUCCUAGCCGUAAACGAUGCUCGCUAGGUGUCACAACAGUCGUGAACUGUUGUGGUGCCGUAGGGAAGCCGUGAAGCGAGCCACUUGGGAAGUACGACCGCAAGGUUGAAACUUAAAGGAAUUGGCGGGGGAGCAC